AGGUAAGGUAAGCGUGAGUCUUCAGGGUUAUUUGUGGGUUCAACGCUUGAGUAAAUGCGUACAAAAAUAAAUAACAAAACUCUCAGUGAAAUAAUUAAUAAUAUUAUCUUUUAACCUGUCGUUAAUACGAAGUAAAUUAAUUAACCGGUUUUAAUAAUUGAAUGAUACGUAAUGAAAUUGUAAUAACAUAACCAAACAAAAUAAUAACUCAAAUUAAUCGUAAUUAAGAUUAUUGAAGUUCUCGGAUAAGGAAACUUGGACUCUUCAAUGGAAUCAGUAAAAAUGAUUCUUGAUUGGAUUGAAAUAAUUCUUCGGAAUGGAUUAAUUGGAUCAGAUUUCAACGUCCAGCUUCAAAAAUAUAUUCAAAUAUUUAAUGUACGGAUUUUCGUCCAAUUCUUCAUCAAAACUCCCAUAUAAUGGAUGGUUUUCGUCCUUGAGAUGCUAAGAUUAUCAUUUUCAAUAAUAUCAACUGGACAAAUAUGAAUUACAAUAAGAAAUUAAUGAAAAAUGAAAUUUGAGGUUAUGUCACUGUCGAAAUUCUACAAAAUUACUUCGUAUCGACUUUACAUGGAUUAAAUACAAUAAAAAACGUAAACGGCCAACAAUACAUAAUGAAUCUAUCAUAUUUACAACAUUUUAUUGAUACAAAAAUAAAUUUCUAUAAUUAUUAUUCAUAACCUCA
RNAcentral lists this long non-coding RNA (682 nucleotides) under Onthophagus taurus. RNAcentral's name for it is "uncharacterized LOC111419178, transcript variant X2". The record is from RNAcentral. Lineage: Eukaryota; Metazoa; Arthropoda; Insecta; Coleoptera; Scarabaeidae.